Molecule: ribosomal RNA, 406 nt
Filed under: uncultured bacterium
Lineage: Bacteria
Description: partial 16S ribosomal RNA
Rfam family: Bacterial small subunit ribosomal RNA
Source: RNAcentral
AUUGAACGCUGGCGGCAGGCCUAACACAUGCAAGUCGAACGCGUGGCGGACGGGUGAGUAAUGUCUGGGAAACUGCCCGAUGUGGGGGGAUAUCUACUGGAAACGGUAGCUAAUACAGCAUACCAUCGGAUGUGCCCAGAUGGGAUUGGCUUGUAGGUGAGGUAACGGCUCACCUAGGCGACGAUCCCUAGCUUGUCUGAGCGGAUGACCAGACACACUGGAACUGAUACACGGGCCAGACUCCUACGGGAGGAAGCAGUGGGGAAUAUGGCACAAUGGGCGCAAGCCUGAUGCAGCCAUGCCGCGUGUAUGAAGAAGGCCUUCGGGUUGUAAAGUACUUUCAGCGGGGAGGCGUUACCCGCAGAAGAAGCACCGGCUAACUCCGUGCCAGCAGCCGCGGUAAUAC